Molecule: transfer RNA, 528 nt
Filed under: uncultured Prochlorococcus sp.
Lineage: Bacteria; Bacillati; Cyanobacteriota; Cyanophyceae; Synechococcales; Prochlorococcaceae
Description: partial 16S-23S ribosomal RNA intergenic spacer
Rfam family: tRNA (bases 213-285)
Source: RNAcentral
CAGGGAGACAACAAAAUGUUUAAUAUUAUUAUUUUGUCACCUUAGGUCGAUCGGUAUCUCACGUUUUUAAUUUAUUAAGAAUUUCAUUUCCUAAGUUUUUUCUAGGUCACACCCAUUAUUUUUCCUGGGCCAUUAGCUCAGGUGGUUAGAGCGCACCCCUGAUAAGGGUGAGGUCCCUGGUUCAAGUCCAGGAUGGCCCAUAUCUCUAUGUUGGGGGUAUAGCUCAGUUGGUAGAGCGCCUGCUUUGCAAGCAGGAUGUCAGCGGUUCGAGUCCGCUUACCUCCACUGAUUACCACCUCUUCCAUAAUCUAUGAGAAGGAAAUGUUUUGAGUAGUGAUCACAUUCUGAACGAAGCUAGCUUCCUAAUGAAAUCAUUAAGAUGCUGGACUCAUUGAAUUAAUUUCAUUGUUUUCAGAGAACCUUGACAACUGCAUAGAUUAUUUUUAAAGACAAUAAGCAUCUUUAAUGAUGCAGAUUUAUUAUUUGUGCGAAUGCAUUAAUAACAAUUCUAUUAAGCUGAUGCUUCAA